AUUGAACGCUGGCGGCAUGCCUUACACAUGCAAGUCGAACGGCAGCAUAGGAGCUUGCUCCUGAUGGCGAGUGGCGAACGGGUGAGUAAUAUAUCGGAACGUGCCCUAGAGUGGGGGAUAACUAGUCGAAAGAUUAGCUAAUACCGCAUACGAUCUACGGAUGAAAGUGGGGGAUCGCAAGACCUCAUGCUCCUGGAGCGGCCGAUAUCUGAUUAGCUAGUUGGUGGGGUAAAAGCCUACCAAGGCGACGAUCAGUAGCUGGUCUGAGAGGACGACCAGCCACACUGGGACUGAGACACGGCCCAGACUCCUACGGGAGGCAGCAGUGGGGAAUUUUGGACAAUGGGGGCAACCCUGAUCCAGCAAUGCCGCGUGAGUGAAGAAGGCCUCCGGGUUGUAAAGCUCUUUUGUCAGGGAAGAAACGGUUCUGGAUAAUACCCAGAGCUAAUGACGGUACCUGAAGAAUAAGCACCGGCUAACUACGUGCCAGCAGCCGCCGCCG
Molecule: ribosomal RNA, 502 nt
Filed under: uncultured bacterium
Lineage: Bacteria
Description: partial 16S ribosomal RNA
Rfam family: Bacterial small subunit ribosomal RNA
Source: RNAcentral